This 450-nucleotide ribosomal RNA is filed under the name uncultured organism. Its description in RNAcentral is "partial 16S ribosomal RNA". It matches the Rfam family "Bacterial small subunit ribosomal RNA", at positions 330 to 797 of the family's 1533-position model. The record is from RNAcentral.
CGUACACUCCUACGGGAGGCAGCAGUGGGGAAUAUUGGACAAUGGGCGCAAGCCUGAUCCAGCCAUGCCGCGUGAGUGAUGAAGGCCCUAGGGUUGUAAAGCUCUUUCACCGGUGAAGAUAAUGACGGUAACCGGAGAAGAAGCCCCGGCUAACUUCGUGCCAGCAGCCGCGGUAAUACGAAGGGGGCUAGCGUUGUUCGGAUUUACUGGGCGUAAAGCGCACGUAGGCGGACUAUUAAGUCAGGGGUGAAAUCCCGGGGCUCAACCCCGGAACUGCCUUUGAUACUGGUAGUCUUGAGUUCGAGAGAGGUGAGUGGAAUUCCGAGUGGAGAGGUGAAAUUCGUAGAUAUUCGGAGGAACACCAGUGGCGAAGGCGGCUCACUGGCUCGAUACUGACGCUGAGGUGCGAAAGCGUGGGGAGCAAACAGGAUUAGAAACCCUGGUAGUCCC